The sequence is a transfer RNA, 86 nucleotides long. It matches the Rfam family "tRNA". From Rfam's summary of the family: Transfer RNA (tRNA) molecules are approximately 80 nucleotides in length. Their secondary structure includes four short double-helical elements and three loops (D, anti-codon, and T loops).
GGGCAUAUGGUGUAGAUGGUUAUCACGCCCGCUUAGCAUCUCUGAUCAUCUGCGGGCGGUCUCCGGUUCGAGUCCGGAUUUGUCCA